AAACAAACUUACCUAAAAUCUUAUCAUAUAUAGGAUUCUCAUUCACAAUAAAAAUUAAAAAUUAAAAAGUUUGUUUAUUAUUGGACAGCCUCUAUUUAAGCUUCGAUCAUUAAUCGAUGAACUUAAAAGGGGUGUCUUCCCUUCCAUGAUAGGAAGUGUGUUUUUAUUUAUCUAUAUAGCCUCUAUCACUUCCAUGAUCCAUCACCUAUUCAUCUGUUUCCACUUCGUGCCAUUUUCUGAUGUUUGCUGUCUGCGAGCCACCAACUGGCGCAUACGUUAUUCUGACAACUACAAAGCUAUUAAUUAAACCAGAUCCUAGGGUUAAAAAUUAAGCUUUGACUGGAGUGCUAUGCCGUAAAGGAACUUGAUUCAUGUCCCCUAUUUUCAAUUAUUUUUUAUCUAGCGCGUAACGACGACGGAAUCGUCCUACCCAAUAUGAUUGGUGUUCGACGACGGAAUCAUGUCCCCUUUUGUAUCCUUUUCUAUUCAUCUUUUCAAGAGAGUUAUUCUUUCUGGAAAAGGCACACAUAAGAAUUUCCUAUAUAAACGCUCUCAUUGUACCCUUUGUUGAAUAACAAACUUGCUUCUUAAUCCAAUUCAGUGUAUUAGCAGUUAGUAAAUUAAUUAACGUUCCGAACUCUAUUAAAAGUCUCGUUGCCCCUUAUUAACUUGCCUUUUCUAGUGGAAGAGAGAUUUGCAGCAGAAAGGGUAAGCAAAGAAAUGGAAGUGCUGAGGCGUGAUCCUCGUCAAAGGUAUGGAUUAAUUCUCUUCUCUUCUCUUCUCUCAAUGAUAUAUAAGUCAUUUGCUUAAUUUCAAUAAUAUCCUUUCAGUUUCAUUAUAAAAUUUGGGUUUCAAGUGGAGAGAUAAUUGCAUUAAUUCAUAAUAGAGAAAAUGACUUUUUGCAGGUCAUACACUGUGAUUAACAUGUCCAGCAAUGUAACCCACAUGCAUCCACCAACUAUUAUUGGGUAAGCAACUACUUUCAUUAUAUAAUUUAAAUUAUUUUCAGUAUUAUAUAUUUAAGUUAUUUUUUAUGUAUAUAUAUGUGUGUGUAUAUGUGUGUGUAUAUAAAAUAUCCUUUGGCUAGUAUGUAUAACAGUGAAAAUAAUUUAAAUUAUAGACUUAUUUUCACUAUUAGAAUCAGAGACUUAUUUUAUAAUAACCAUAAUUUGCUUAAUUUAAAUUAUUUUCACCAUUAGAUAUUUUCACUUGUUUGUAUGUAUAUAUGAUGCAACACGGCAAUAUAAAGUCAUGAUUUGUUCAUCUUGCACCAAAAUUAUGCAAAUUAAGGCGGGGGUGAUCUGGGUUGGGCUUGGCACAAGCCAUAGCUUUGUGAUCCAGGCUUUAGGCCAUAGCCUAAGAUGAUAUUUAUAACAGACAAUAUAACAUAUUCCUCAUCAUUUAUAUUACUUUGAUGUAAAACUUUGUUAUCAAAUUAAGUAAUUAUAUCUUAUUUUGAUGGUUUUGCAGUGUGCAAAAUUCCUCAUCACCCUCGGCACCGUACCACG
This 1508-nucleotide long non-coding RNA is filed under the name Citrus x clementina. Its description in RNAcentral is "Citrus clementina (C. clementina) long non-coding RNA (CCLE_LNC002361)". The record is from RNAcentral. Lineage: Eukaryota; Viridiplantae; Streptophyta; Magnoliopsida; Sapindales; Rutaceae.